RNAcentral lists this ribosomal RNA (253 nucleotides) under uncultured bacterium. RNAcentral's name for it is "partial 16S ribosomal RNA". It matches the Rfam family "Bacterial small subunit ribosomal RNA", at positions 524 to 776 of the family's 1533-position model. The record is from RNAcentral.
UACGGAGGGUGCAAGCGUUGUCCGGAUUUAUUGGGCGUAAAGAGCGUGUAGGCGGCCAUGUAGGUCCGGUGUGAAAACUCGAGGCUUAACCUCGAGAUGUCAUCGGAAACCAUUUGGCUAGAGUCCGGAAGAGGAGAGUGGAAUUCCCGGUGUAGCGGUGAAAUGCGCAGAUAUCGGGAGGAACACCAAUGGCGAAGGCAGCUCGCUGGGACGGUACUGACGCUGAGGCGCGAAAGCGUGGGGAGCAAACAGG